Molecule: transfer RNA, 73 nt
Filed under: Clavelina lepadiformis (light-bulb sea squirt)
Lineage: Eukaryota; Metazoa; Chordata; Ascidiacea; Aplousobranchia; Clavelinidae
Description: transfer RNA-Ser (UCN)
Source: RNAcentral
AGGAGUAUAGUUUUAUUUUAUUAAAAUAUUUAGUUUGAAACUAAAAGAAGUAUUUUUUUUUUUGCUACUCUUG